UGGGGAAUAUUGGACAAUGGGCGCAAGCCUGAUCCAGCAAUUCCGCGUGGGUGAAGAAGGUCUUCGGAUUGUAAAGCCCUUUCGGCAGGGACGAUGAUGACGGUACCUGCAGAAGAAGCCCCGGCUAACUUCGUGCCAGCAGCCGCGGUAAUACGAAGGGGGCUAGCGUUGCUCGGAAUUACUGGGCGUAAAGGGCGCGUAGGCGGCGCUGCAAGUCAGGCGUGAAAUUCCUGGGCUUAACCUGGGGGCUGCGCUUGAGACUGUGGUGCUAGAGGAUGGAAGAGGCUCGUGGAAUUCCCAGUGUAGAGGUGAAAUUCGUAGAUAUUGGGAAGAACACCGGUGGCGAAGGCGGCGAGCUGGUCCAUUACUGACGCUGAGGCGCGAUAGCGUGGGGAGCAAACAG
This 403-nucleotide ribosomal RNA is filed under the name uncultured bacterium. RNAcentral describes it as "bacterial SSU rRNA". It matches the Rfam family "Bacterial small subunit ribosomal RNA", at positions 355 to 775 of the family's 1533-position model. The record is from RNAcentral.